RNAcentral lists this transfer RNA (73 nucleotides) under Leachiella pacifica. RNAcentral's name for it is "tRNA-Thr". It matches the Rfam family "tRNA". From Rfam's summary of the family: Transfer RNA (tRNA) molecules are approximately 80 nucleotides in length. Their secondary structure includes four short double-helical elements and three loops (D, anti-codon, and T loops). Lineage: Eukaryota; Rhodophyta; Florideophyceae; Gigartinales; Choreocolacaceae. The record is from RNAcentral.
GCUAGUGUAGCUCAAUUGGUAGAGCUACUGAUUUGUAAUCAGUAAGUUAUAGGUUCAAGUCCUUUCUCUAGCU